AGUCGAACGAUGAACCACUUCGGUGGGGAUUAGUGGCGAACGGGUGAGUAACACGUGGGCAAUCUGCCCUGCACUCUGGGACAAGCCCUGGAAACGGGGUCUAAUACCGGAUAACAGCUUCCAUCGCAUGGUGGGGGUUUGAAAGCUCCGGCGGUGCAGGAUGAGCCCGCGGCCUAUCAGCUUGUUGGUGAGGUAGUGGCUCACCAAGGCGACGACGGGUAGCCGGCCUGAGAGGGCGACCGGCCACACUGGGACUGAGACACGGCCCAGACUCCUACGGGAGGCAGCAGUGGGGAAUAUUGCACAAUGGGCGAAAGCCUGAUGCAGCGACGCCGCGUGAGGGAUGACGGCCUUCGGGUUGUAAACCUCUUUCAGCAGGGAAGAAGCGAGAGUGACGGUACCUGCAGAAGAAGCGCCGGCUAACUACGUGCCAGCAGCCGCGGUAAUACGUAGGGCGCAAGCGUUGUCCGGAAUUAUUGGGCGUAAAGAGCUCGUAGGCGGCUUGUCGCGUCGGUUGUGAAAGCCCGGGGCUUAACCCCGGGUCUGCAGUCGAUACGGGCAGGCUAGAGUUCGGUAGGGGAGAUCGGAAUUCCUGGUGUAGCGGUGAAAUGCGCAGAUAUCAGGAGGAACACCGGUGGCGAAGGCGGAUCUCUGGGCCGAUACUGACGCUGAGGAGCGAAAGCGUGGGGAGCGAACAGGAUUAGAUACCCUGGUAGUCCACGCCGUAAACGGUGGGCACUAGGUGUGGGCAACAUUCCACGUUGUCCGUGCCGCAGCUAACGCAUUAAGUGCCCCGCCUGGGGAGUACGGCCGCAAGGCUAAAACUCAAAGGGAUUUGACGGGGGCCCGCACAAGCGGCGGAGCAUGUGGCUUAAUUCGACGCAACGCGAAGAACCUUACCAAGGCUUGACAUACACCGG
RNAcentral lists this ribosomal RNA (920 nucleotides) under uncultured Streptomyces sp. RNAcentral describes it as "bacterial SSU rRNA". It matches the Rfam family "Bacterial small subunit ribosomal RNA", at positions 60 to 994 of the family's 1533-position model. Lineage: Bacteria; Bacillati; Actinomycetota; Actinomycetes; Kitasatosporales; Streptomycetaceae. The record is from RNAcentral.